CAGUAGUGUAUAUCAAAGUUGUUGCGGUUAAAAGGCUCGUAGUUGGAUUUUGGGUUUAUAGACGAGAUUGCACUUUGUCUUUGAACGGAGGUGAUCUCUAGGCCCCAUGGUGAAGCGUUUUCGGACGUUUUGCCGCGUACUUUGAACAAAUUAGAGUGCUCAAGACAGGCGAGUAUUUGCCUUGAAUAGAUUAGCAUGGAAUACAAGUAUAAACCACUACUUGCAAAACGUUUGUCUUUUUGCGGGAGAGGAAUGAUGGAUAGGGACAGGAUGUGGGCGUUGAGAUUGUGACGUCAGAGGUGAAAUUCUUAGAUCGUUGCAGGAUGAGCUGGAGCGAAAGCAUUCGUCAAGGAUGUUUUCAUUGA
This 365-nucleotide ribosomal RNA is filed under the name uncultured eukaryote. RNAcentral's name for it is "partial 18S ribosomal RNA". It matches the Rfam family "Eukaryotic small subunit ribosomal RNA", at positions 592 to 976 of the family's 1831-position model. The record is from RNAcentral.